GUGGGGAAUUUUGGACAAUGGGCGCAAGCCUGAUCCAGCAAUGCCGCGUGCAGGAAGAAGGCCUUCGGGUUGUAAACUGCUGUUGUACGGAACGAAACGGUCCUGGCUAAUACCUGGGGCUAAUGACGGUACCGUAAGAAUAAGCACCGGCUAACUACGUGCCAGCAGCCGCGGUAAUACGUAGGGUGCGAGCGUUAAUCGGAAUUACUGGGCGUAAAGCGUGCGCAGGCGGUGCUGUAAGACAGGAGUGAAAUCCCCGGGCUCAACCUGGGAAUUGCGCUUGUGACUGCAGGGCUGGGGUACGGCAGAGGGGGAGGGAAUUCCGCGUGUAGCAGUGAAAUGCGUAGAUAUGCGGAGGAACACCGAUGGCGAAGGCAGUCCCCUGGGCCUGUACUGACGCUCAUGCACGAAAGCGUGGGGAGCAAACAGGAUUAGAAACCCCUGUAGUCC
RNAcentral lists this ribosomal RNA (450 nucleotides) under uncultured bacterium. RNAcentral's name for it is "partial 16S ribosomal RNA". It matches the Rfam family "Bacterial small subunit ribosomal RNA", at positions 354 to 796 of the family's 1533-position model. The record is from RNAcentral.